Molecule: RNA transcript, 3001 nt
Organism: Triticum dicoccoides
Lineage: Eukaryota; Viridiplantae; Streptophyta; Magnoliopsida; Poales; Poaceae
Gene name: protein MOS2-like
Exons: 2
Source: RefSeq, a predicted model, not a curated record
GUAUUUUUUUUCGUGUUUCUGCGCCCCCCACAGACUCCACACGCUUUCCCCCAAAUCGCCGCCGCCAUGGAGAAGGAGAAGAAGCUGUCCUUCUCCAUCCCUUCCAAGCUCAGGCCGCCCAAGCCGCCCCGCCCCGCCGCCGGCGCUGAUUCCUCCGCCGCCAGCGGCAACUCCGCUUCCGCGGCCGCUGCCCCCGCCCAGCAAUUCGUCACCGAGUUCGAUCCGUCGCAAACCCUAGCCGCCGGCGCCGCGUCCGCCGUCAUCGCGCCCCUCCCCAACUCCGGCCACUUCCUCAACCACCGCUCCCGCAAACCCUCCUCCCUCCCGACCCCCGAGGAGGAGGCCGCCCUUGCGGCCUCCACCGCCGGUGGCCCCACAUUCGUGCUCGACACCUCCGAGGCCCCCGACAACCCCUCCUCCCACAUAGGGUAUGGCCUCACCCGACGCGGCGCCGACGCCGACGCCGAGGCUGACGCCACGGAGCCGGGUAAGACGCAGUCUUCCAAGGAAUCAGAGAAGAAGCCGACCUCUCCAGCCAGAGAUGGCGGCUCCAGCGGUGACCUUAUGCUGCGACGGUACAAGGAGGACAUGGCCAGCCUCCCUGACCACCGUGGUAUAGAUGAGUUUGAGGAGGUGCCUGUGGAGGGCUUCGGUGCUGCCCUCCUUGCUGGUUACGGCUGGUCGGAAGGCAAAGGGCUCGGCCGCAAUAACAAGGAAGAUACCAAGGUUGUUGAGUAUAACCGCCGUGCCGGUACGCUGGGAUUAGGUUACGACCCUUCUGAGGCAGACCCUAAGAAGACUCGCUCCGGCGACUGGGUUAUUGGUGGAAAGAAGCCGACAGAGAAUGGUGGAAAGAAGUCCGCAGAGAAUGGAAAUGCAAAGAAGAGAGAUAUGGACAAGGAAGACAGAGUCCGGGAGAGGGAUUCAAGUUCCCGACAGAAGAGAUCUGGUGAUCUUAGGGCCGAGAGGGAGGUUCGAGAGAAAGAGAGAAAAUCUCGGGAUAGUCGAGAAGAAAAGAGUAGCCGCGAUGUUGGUAACAAAGUGCGCUGGUUACAGAGCAAUAUUAGGGUUAGAGUGGUUAAUGAGAGGUUCAGCAGAAGGUUGUACCUGCAGAAGGCAAAAAUUGUCGAUGUGGUUGGACCAACGACAUGUGACAUAAUGAUGGAUGACGGGUCAGAGCUUGUGCAGGGGGUGGAGCAGGAUAUGCUUGAAACAGUCCUGCCACGGACAAACGGCCAAGUGCUUGUGCUCUGUGGGAAGCACAAGGGGGUGUAUGGGCAUCUGGUAGAGAAGAAUUCAGAGGCAGAGACUGCAGUAGUGGAGGAUGCGGAUACAAAAGACAUGGUGCGUGUGAAAUAUGAUCAGAUUGCAGAGUACGUUGGGGACCCAGAAUUGCUUGGGCAUUGAUUAUUUCUUCUUGAGGAGGGGACAUCUGUUUUCCAGGAGCUCUUCUAAUGUGCGACCUAGGUAAAUACUCUGAGGAAAGAGGCUGGUAUUGAUGCCUUCAAAAGGGAUAGUGAUAGAUCUAAGAGAGUGGUGAGGAGAGCCGCGCGGAACACUUAAAUACAUUUCUGGUUUCCUUCAAAAUACAACUAGGCUCUGCUUUAUAGAGGACUUCUAAAGGAUGGCUUGAAAAGGGAUGGAUGCAAGGAUGGUGAAGAUUUGGUAAUAGAUGGUUUUCGCCCAGUUUUAUGCAAAUUAACUGGGCAAUUCUCUUCUGCUUAACUAAUAGGUAGAGGCAAAUCUUUUGCCUCCGUUUCGAAAAGAAAAAAAGAUUCGAUCAUAGGGGGAUGGAAGAAGGAGCCGGGAGGAACGAUUAGAUACAUCCUUGUUUCCUUCAAAAUACAACUAAGUUCUGCUUUAUAAAGAGGACUUCUAACUGAUAUUAGAGAACUCUCUGUAGUAUAAGAUGCAAACAUUAUUAUGAAAGGAUACCAUCAAAACAAACAGUAUACAACUAAAAGAUACUGCCUCCUUUCCAGUUUAAAAGGCCUACGCGUAUCUCUAGGUUGACAAUUUUUCCAAACUAAGACGAGUCAUAGAUCGUAAAUUUAUACCAUUAGAAACUUCAAAUGUUAUAUUUUCCAAGUUAUAAUUUUUGUGAUAUACAAUUUGCAUCGCAUCUACUAUAUCUAAAUAGGAGAACCCCACUACAUGAUUUCUCUGCACAUGCAGCCUAUCCACCUCAUCACUUGCCACAUCAGCCUAUCUAAACAUGCAGGCGUGUAACGCCAGCCACCUCUUGCGUUUGGUUUUCAGCGGUAAAUCACUUUCCCACUUCAUGCAUUGCAUGCUCCUAUGUCUUUAUAAUUUUUGUGAUAUACAAUUUGCAUCACAUUGGUUGAAUUGGCAAGCCCAAACUUGCAUGUGACAUAAACAACCUUCAUCUACAGUAUAUUUCAGUGGGCCUCUUGACAUAGCAUGAUUACAGUUUUGGGUAAUGUUUCUGCUCACCAGUUUUGCAUAAUAGCAAACUGUACCAUAGGCCAUAGUCAUGUUGGCUUCUAGUUUACGGAUUACCUUCCAAGAUUUGUCAUCUUCAUUUUAUAAAAUAGAUUAGUGUGUCACCCAAACAUGAUUUUUAAAUCGAAUAUGGUUCAGAUCAGAUCAAGGAUAUUGUGAUUCACUAUAAUAUCACAACUCUGCUAUACUAGCAUGGCGCGGCAAUUGGAAUUUUGUGCCAAUUAGAGACUGUAUUCGUCCCUAAUAGCGAAUCAAACACAACAAGAAUUGUAUAUAAUUCAGAUAGUAGUUUCUGUGUCUAGCUGUGUUGCACUGAAAUUACAAACAUUAAAAACUGUAGAGACACCGAUAUUUGAUAAUUACAAUACGUGCACAUGGUAUUCAAGCGCAUGCAUUUCAAACCCUUACUCAGUAGUUGAGUUAUCUUUCUCCUUAUACUCUCCCUCGUUGUUGCCUUCUGCAACUUUUUUUGACUCGUUGCAUCAUGUAGCCGACUUGUCAACUUUUUCCUUCUGAGCAAUUGCAAUCAAUGUCUUGU